GAUGAACGCUGGCGGCGUGCUUAACACAUGCAAGUCGAACGGUGAACACGGAGCUUGCUCUGUGGGAUCAGUGGCGAACGGGUGAGUAACACGUGAGCAACCUGCCCCUGACUCUGGGAUAAGCGCUGGAAACGGCGUCUAAUACUGGAUAUGUGACGUGACCGCAUGGUCUGCGUUUGGAAAGAUUUUUCGGUUGGGGAUGGGCUCGCGGCCUAUCAUCUUGUUGGUGAGGUAAUGGCUCACCAAGGCGUCGACGGGUAGCCGGCCUGAGAGGGUGACCGGCCACACUGGGACUGAGACACGGCCCAGACUCCUACGGGAGGCAGCAGUGGGGAAUAUUGCACAAUGGGCGCAAGCCUGAUGCAGCAACGCCGCGUGAGGGAUGACGGCCUUCGGGUUGUAAACCUCUUUUAGCAGGGAAGAAGCGAAAGUGACGGUACCUGCAGAAAAAGCGCCGGCUAACUACGU
This 468-nucleotide ribosomal RNA is filed under the name uncultured bacterium. RNAcentral's name for it is "partial 16S ribosomal RNA". It matches the Rfam family "Bacterial small subunit ribosomal RNA", at positions 28 to 506 of the family's 1533-position model. The record is from RNAcentral.